This 423-nucleotide ribosomal RNA is filed under the name uncultured bacterium. Its description in RNAcentral is "bacterial SSU rRNA". It matches the Rfam family "Bacterial small subunit ribosomal RNA", at positions 207 to 622 of the family's 1533-position model. The record is from RNAcentral.
AAGACCUUGCGCUUUUGGAGCGGCCGAUGCCUGAUUAGCUUGUUGGUAAGGUAAAGGCUUACCAAGGCUUCGAUCAGUAGCUGGUCUGAGAGGACGGCCAGCCACACUGGGACUGGGACACGGCCCAGACUCCUACGGGAGGCAGCAGUGGGGAAUUUUGGACAAUGGGGGAAACCCUGAUCCAGCCAUGCCGCGUGAGUGAAGAAGGCCUUCGGGUUGUAAAGCUCUUUCAGCCGGAACGAAACGGUUACGGAUAAUACCCGUGACUACUGACGGUACCGGAAGAAGAAGCACCGGCUAACUACGUGCCAGCAGCCGCGGUAAUACGUAGGGUGCGAGCGUUAAUCGGAAUUACUGGGCGUAAAGCGUGCGCAGGUGGUUUUGUAAGUCAGAUGUGAAAGCCCCGGGCUCAACCUGGGAACU